Molecule: ribosomal RNA, 468 nt
Filed under: uncultured bacterium
Lineage: Bacteria
Description: partial 16S ribosomal RNA
Rfam family: Bacterial small subunit ribosomal RNA
Source: RNAcentral
GACGAACGCUGGCGGCGUGCUUAACACAUGCAAGUCGAACGGAAAGGCCCUGCUUUUGUGGGGUGCUCGAGUGGCGAACGGGUGAGUAACACGUGAGUAACCUGCCCUUGACUUUGGGAUAACUUCAGGAAACUGGGGCUAAUACCGGAUAGGAGCUCCUGCUGCAUGGUGGGGGUUGGAAAGUUUCGGCGGUUGGGGAUGGACUCGCGGCUUAUCAGCUUGUUGGUGGGGUAGUGGCUUACCAAGGCUUUGACGGGUAGCCGGCCUGAGAGGGUGACCGGCCACAUUGGGACUGGGAUACGGCCCAGACUCCUACGGGAGGCAGGAGUGGGGGAUAUUGCACAAUGGGCGGAAGCCUGAUGCAGCAACGCCGCGUGCGGGAUGACGGCCUUCGGGUUGUAAACCGCUUUCGCCUGUGACGAAGCGUGAGUGACGGUAAUGGGUAAAGAAGCACCGGCUAACUACGUG